Molecule: RNase P RNA, 379 nt
Filed under: Peptococcaceae bacterium
Lineage: Bacteria; Bacillati; Bacillota; Clostridia; Eubacteriales; Peptococcaceae
Description: RNase P RNA component class A
Rfam family: Bacterial RNase P class A
About the family: Ribonuclease P (RNase P) is a ubiquitous endoribonuclease, found in archaea, bacteria and eukarya as well as chloroplasts and mitochondria. Its best characterised activity is the generation of mature 5'-ends of tRNAs by cleaving the 5'-leader elements of precursor-tRNAs.
Source: RNAcentral
UGAGCCGGCCGGGUGGUCGCGGCCGCUGGCGCCGAAAGGCCGCGGUCGAGGAAAGUCCGGGCUCCGCAGGGCAGGAUGCUGGAUAACGUCCAGUGAGGGCGACCUCAAGGAAAGUGCCACAGAAACAUACCGCCGAUGGCCGGCCCAGCGGGCCUGGCUCAGGCAAGGGUGAAAUGGUGAGGCAAGAGCUCACCGGCGGCCGGGUGACCGGCCGGCCGGGUAAACCCCAUCCGGAGCAAGACCGAAUAGAGGAGCUACGAGGCGGCCCGUCUCGCUCCCGGGUUAGGUCGCAAGAGGCGGCGGGCGACCGUCGUCCCAGAUAGAUGACCGCCACUCCCUCGCGGGAGGACAGAACCCGGCUUACAGGCCGGCUCAAACA